GAUUAACGCUGGCGGCGUGCAUGAAACAUGCAAGUCGAGCGCAUCGCGUGCGGGAGUAAUCCUUCACGCGUUAAGCGGCGCACGGGUGAGUAACACGUGAGCAACCUACCUUCGAGUCUGGGAUAGCCCUGAGAAAUCAGGAUUAAUACCGGAUGUGGUCAUCGCAGGACAUCCUGUGAUGUGUAAAGGCGAAAGCCGCUCGGAGACGGGCUCGCGGCCUAUUAGCUUGUUGGUGGGGUAACGGCCUACCAAGGCGAUGAUGGGUAGCUG
RNAcentral lists this ribosomal RNA (270 nucleotides) under uncultured bacterium. Its description in RNAcentral is "partial 16S ribosomal RNA". It matches the Rfam family "Bacterial small subunit ribosomal RNA", at positions 28 to 289 of the family's 1533-position model. The record is from RNAcentral.